GUAGGGGGCGAGCGUUGUUCGGAAUUACUGGGCGUAAAGGGCAUGUAGGCGGCUUGGUAAGCCUGGCGUGAAAGUCCACAGCUUAACUGUGGGACAGCGCUGGGAACUGCUGAGCUUGAGUUAUGGAGAGGGAGCUGGAAUUCCUGGUGUAGGGGUGAAAUCUGUAGAGAUCAGGAAGAACACCGAUGGCGAAGGCAAGCUCCUGGCCAAUGACUGACGCUGAGGUGCGAAAGUGUGGGGAUCAAAC
RNAcentral lists this ribosomal RNA (247 nucleotides) under uncultured Spirochaetaceae bacterium. RNAcentral's name for it is "partial 16S ribosomal RNA". It matches the Rfam family "Bacterial small subunit ribosomal RNA", at positions 527 to 773 of the family's 1533-position model. Lineage: Bacteria; Pseudomonadati; Spirochaetota; Spirochaetia; Spirochaetales; Spirochaetaceae. The record is from RNAcentral.